GAUGAACGCUGACAGAAUGCUUAACACAUGCAAGUCUUUGGCGAAGCUGUGCUUGCACAGCCUAGCCAAGGCGGACGGGUGAGUAACGCGUAAGGAAAUUGCCCUGCAGUCAGGGAUAACAGACGGAAACGACUGAUAAGACCCGGUAAAGUCAGGCGGACUCAUGUCCAGCCUGAUGAAAAGAGAUGCUGCAGGAGAGCCUUGCGUCCUAUUAGCUUGUUGGUGGGGUAACGGCCCACCAAGGCGAUGAUAGGUAGGCGGCCUGGGGGGGUGGACGGCCACAAGGGGACUGAGAUACGGCGAUUACUCCGAGGGGAGGCAGCGGUGGGGAAUACUGGACGAUGGGGGCAACCCUGAACCAGCGAUUCUGCGUGCACGAUGAAGGUUUUCGGGUUGUAAAGUGCUUUCAGCAGGGAAGAAAAAAAUGACGGUACCUGCAGAAGAAGCGACGGCUAAAUACGUG
Molecule: ribosomal RNA, 463 nt
Filed under: uncultured bacterium
Lineage: Bacteria
Description: partial 16S ribosomal RNA
Rfam family: Bacterial small subunit ribosomal RNA
Source: RNAcentral